This 207-nucleotide ribosomal RNA is filed under the name uncultured Prevotella sp. RNAcentral's name for it is "partial 16S ribosomal RNA". The record is from RNAcentral. Lineage: Bacteria; Pseudomonadati; Bacteroidota; Bacteroidia; Bacteroidales; Prevotellaceae.
GGAGUCUGGUCCGUGUCUCAGUACCAGUGUGGGGGACCUUCCUCUCAGAACCCCUAAGGAUCGUCGGCUCGGUGGGCCGUUACCCCGCCGACUGCCUAAUCCUACGCAUCCCCAUCCCAUAGCGAUGAAUCUUUGCUCCCCGUCAGAGGCCAAUCAAGGGAGAACAUCAGGUAUUAAUCCGACUUUCGCCGGGCUAUCCUCUACUAA